GCGGUAUAAAAAGGAUUUGACGGAAACUGGAAGCAUUAGUCGAACAGCACAAAAGGGAAGAAGACCUUAUGGUGAAAAGUUGGAUGUUGAUAGUGUUGACAACCAUUUUGAUGAUAUCAAAGAGGCAUGUAGUGGUACAGAAGAAGGUCAAAGAUUGGGCUCGGUGGGGGGUAAACUUGAAUUGGAGGCCUCAGAUGAAAAGAAUUCAAGGACCUCUUUACAAGGCCAUAGAAAGAGGAGCAGAAAGAUGUUUUUCAGGAGAGAUGAAGACUCCCCUUUUGAUGCUCUGCAAACUUUGGCUGAUUUGUCACUUAUGAUGCCAACAGAAAAUGAAGAUGAGUCGAUCCCUGCCAAGGAUGAUACUGAUGAUCAUGUUGAUGAAUCUGGCUCCGUAGAAGCAUUGCCUGCAAACAGACAAAGAGACAAACAUGGAUCAGCGGGGGUUAAAUCAAGAUGGAGUCA
This 462-nucleotide unclassified non-coding RNA is filed under the name Hevea brasiliensis (rubber tree). Lineage: Eukaryota; Viridiplantae; Streptophyta; Magnoliopsida; Malpighiales; Euphorbiaceae. The record is from RNAcentral.